CUCGGGUUCAAAAAAUGCUAUCCGAUGAAUAUUCAACUGCCUCCAAUAUAAAAUCUCGC
RNAcentral lists this transfer RNA (59 nucleotides) under Rhodomonas abbreviata. Lineage: Eukaryota; Cryptophyceae; Pyrenomonadales; Pyrenomonadaceae. The record is from RNAcentral.